AGCUCGAAGGCUGACUACAAUCACUUUGCAGGACUGACAAUCCCACUGGACACGUGAGCUGCGCUCCAAUAUCCUUUUCCAUUAUUUCUGUAGAUCUCAGAUUAUUUUUAAGGUUCUUCAAUUCAACUUUGAGGCCUGCGCGCUUCAAUUUAAUCUUCUUUCGCGUGGAGGUGGUAUUUUGGGAGAGUUUUGUUGGGAAAACGGAGCGGAAUUGUCGCACAGAGGUUGGCAACAGGUGCGAGGGAAUUAUUCAAUGAACAGCGCCAUCGUACUCCCUUUUUGUUUAUUUGUUCUCACGUCAUGGUCGGAGAGGUGUACACAAAAUAUACGUGCCGAGUGACAAGUGUUUUUUUUUCGGAGCGAUUGGUGGAUUUUUAUUGUCUUAGGGAUAUGUUUUGUUAUCAGGGAUUUUUCGGGUAAACACGGGAGGAAUUGAGGUCGCCGCGAUGUGCGGGGGGGGAUUGGAGUCGAGAGGACUCUCCGGAAUUUUUUUGAAUGCUUUCGUUAGUGCAGCAGAUUUUUUUAUCUGUUUUUGUGGGUUCAGAUUUUUCGGCUUCGAUUGGUUCGGGGGUUUUUAAAGGACUUUGGAGCAGAUGGAACGACAGUUUGUGGGGGACAAGUGAGAGUGGGGAAUUAUUGGAGCGAUUUUUUUUUUAAUUUUUUUUUUGGAAAUAAUUUUUGGAGGAAUUUUGCACGAGUUGAGGGGCUUUUCGACGGUUUUUCGAGGUGAAAACAACGAGUGGUGGACAUAACCUAGACGGAGUGCGAGACGUGACGAGUAGUUAGUUCACCUGCUCCGAAGUGCAUUAGUGAAAAAUUAACAAUUGUUUUGAUAAACUGACAUUGUGGGGGCACGUAUGACUCCGGAAAAAGUUGUUUCCUUUUUCUAAGACAGGGGAUGAGUGAAGUUUUUCAGUGUUUACGUGGAGUUUUUCGGUGUUUAUCCUUGUCACUGCCGGAAAUUUAUGGGUUUUGAACUCAAAUUUAUGGAGAAUUCCAGCGCGAGGAGAACCAGUGGAUAUAAACAAUAUUGAGGAAAAGACGAUGGGAAAAGGUGAGGAAGGGAGCACAACUGAAGGAGGGGAAUCCAGUACUUUUCUAGCUACUACCUCGACGGAGGCGAGUAAAAUGCUGGAAGCCGCACUACUACAAAUGGACGGCAUUAUUUCCGGUAAAAAAUGGGCCUGUGCGGAGGGCACCGAGGCACCUCCAGACUGGAAGGAUUCAGUCAGAGAGGCAGCGAGAAAUCUCGUGGCGGCCAUCCAAAACUCCCCUGCCCCUCCUCCACCUCCGGAUGCUCACACCACGGAUGUUCUAUUGCAGUGGAUGCAACCGGAAAGGUUGAGAAAACUUGAGAACGAAAGAGCAGGCCUACACAUGGAGGUAUCAGUAUUAUCUGAACAAGUAGACGCACAAUCUAGUAAAAUUUUAGAACUCGAGAAUAUUCUUCAAGAGAAGAAGGAUGCUAUGAGGCAGAUGGAGGAUGUUCUGCAAAAGGAGGUAUUAUCUCGAAGUGCUUUAGAAACCCAAAAGCUCGAGCUUUUAACAUCACUAUCAGAGAUGAAGCUACGACAGGCCAGCUUGGAGCACGAAAAUGUGGCGCUUCGGACCGCAACAUCAAUCACAAACGGUGAGAAGUUCAGCAGACACGCAGGACAAUAUAGCAGCCUGCCAAGGCCCCCGACAUCGGUGAAGAAAGGCGUUGCUUUUGGUAAGGUUUCUCAUCAAAUAUCUGGUGCUCAAACUACGGUACCGCUUGCAGUCAGAGGAAACUCGGCCAGAUGUUUAUCUGCCCCAGCUCUAGCUGAAGAAGAGAGAAUCGUGAUUUCUGAAGCAUUAGCUCGUGCCGAAGUGCCUCCUCCAAAGCCUUUGAACGACCUGUCGAUGGAGGAAGUGGAGGAGUGGUUGACGAGACUGGGUCUAGAGGCUUAUGCACCUGAACUAAGGCGAUGGGGGGCUACGGGCGCUAAACUACUCGAUGUUACAGCACAUCAAAUUGAAAAGGAGCUCGAUAUCAAGAACAGUCUUCACAGGAAGAAAUUACUGUAUGCUAUAGAGUGCGAGAGGUGCAAUGGAGUUGGAUUUCUUGGAUCUGAAAAGAUGGAUAAUGCAGCAGUUCUCCGUUGGCUCGACGACGUUGGUCUACCCCAGCACAAAGAAGCUUUCCACAAUGCCAAAGUAGACGGUCGUGUUCUCCACAGGCUGACCACUGAAGACCUACUGACCCUCGGUGUAGCAGCGCAACUUCACGCAGCAAGUUUGCGUCGUGGAAUCCAAGUGCUUCGAGAACUGAAUUUCGAGUUUGAUAAUUUAGAGAGGAGAUCAGUGAACGGUAAUGGAGCUGACGGCAGUAAUGUCGCGUUGUGGACGAAUCACAGAGUGAUGGAGUGGUUGAGAGUCGUGGAUCUUGCUGAGUAUGCGCCUAAUAUGAGGGGAUCUGGGGUCCACGGGGGACUGAUCAUUCAUGAGGGCAGAUUUACCUCUGAACUGUUAGCCACUCUCCUCAGUAUUCCACCUGCCAAGACCCUAUUGCGGAGACAUUUGACCACUCAUUUUAAUCAGAUUCUUGGGAGGGAAGUUGUACAGCAUAAGAGGGAGAUGGAGACCACUCUUGGAUUUGUGCCAUUGACACUUACAGCUCGAUUAAAGGUACCAAAGAAAUCUCAAUUCACCCUAAAACGAAAGAAGAGCAAGAGUGAUAUUGAUUAUGGGAAUUUGGUGUGUCCCUUGGAAUCAUCACCACCAGGUACACCAUCGACACCCUCAUCAACUCCAGGCAGCCCUAAUCUCAACUCACCCACAAUCUAACAAUAACUAUUCACGCCAUUUAUCAGCUAGAUGAAUUUCAUCUCAAACGAACUAACUCCAUUUGGAAAUAGUGGAGCACAGAAAAAUCAUUGGCUGCAUAUGAGAGUUAUCUGAAUACAAUGAAGUCGAAAUAAUGAAAUUACAGGAAUUUAAUCAUAUUCGAUGCACAAUAGGAGAUCGUAGACUUUUUAGACUUAUGGGACCAUAUUAUUGGCAGAAUGAAAUCGCAUAGUCAACUAGUGUUUCUUUUAUCAAUGAAACUUUUUACAGAAUUAUAAACUGAAUAUAUAAAAGUUCAUGGGAUAUGAUCAUCAGUUACCAAUAUACAAUAUUCAUUUUGUGCGUGACAAUAUUCAGUAAUUCAGAGGCCAAUAAGAUUUGUUACAUAAUUCAUUGCGUAAAAUUUUUGACGGAUGUCAAAUAAUUUCAAUCUAAGAGUGUGUAUUUUUAAUAUCCAUAUACACAUAAAUUCAUUGUACAUGUUUAUUGCAAUCGUGAGUGCCUACAAGAGUGUAUUUUACUUUAUUACAUUCGACUAUACUCAUUAUUUUAUUUUGUUUGCGUUGAUUUGUAGACGAAGGCAUGAGAUGAUUACUUUUUUUUUCAACUCUUUGGAAGAUCGAAGAGAAUUUAGUUUUUUAGGUCCGUUUUUAUCCCAUUGAGAGAUGUAAAAAUUCAUUACUUUCAUUUAUUUUUCAUUUAUAUAUAUUUUGCGGAAGGAACUCUUGAGUCAUUGUCAAUCAAAUGUAUUACUCGCUUUCAAAAUAUAUCGUUGGAAAUUGUAAACAC
RNA transcript from Diachasma alloeum, 3597 nucleotides. It is a transcript of the gene named liprin-beta-1, with no coding region annotated. NCBI's taxonomy places the organism in Eukaryota, Metazoa, Arthropoda, Insecta, Hymenoptera, Braconidae. The transcript has 10 exons. The record is from RefSeq and is a predicted model, not a curated record.